Molecule: long non-coding RNA, 299 nt
Organism: Gavialis gangeticus (Gharial)
Lineage: Eukaryota; Metazoa; Chordata; Crocodylia; Gavialidae
Exons: 3
Source: RefSeq, a predicted model, not a curated record
UGCUCAGAGCACACAGCCUACCAGUCAAACAGCAAAACCAAAGGCAUGAGCAACUGGAUCAUUUAUCUUUCCUGGUGAUCACUACAGGCUGCCAAGAGCAGGGAAUGAAACAGAACUUGAAAAAACUUAAGAUCCAAACUGAAGAAGGUGGAACCUGAAAGCAAGUGAAGAAAUGCAGUCAUGGGGAAGAACAAGGGCCACUUAUUUCACCUGGAUCUUCAGCUACCUAGAAAGAAGCACAAGCCAAAUUGCCUAGGAAGUGUCAUGAACCAAAGGAAAAGCUCCAAAGUUUUCCACUG